RNAcentral lists this ribosomal RNA (175 nucleotides) under uncultured bacterium. RNAcentral describes it as "partial 16S ribosomal RNA". The record is from RNAcentral.
GUGAGUAAUAUCGAACGUACCCUAGAGUGGGGGUAUACGUAGCGAAAGUUACCUAAUACCGCAUACGAAUCUAAGGAUGAGCUGGGGGAUCCAAGACCUCAUCUCGUGGAGCGGCCGAUAUCUGAUUAGCUAGUUGUAGGGUAAACCUACCAAGGCAUGGAUCAGUAGCUGGUCU